Molecule: ribosomal RNA, 313 nt
Rfam family: Eukaryotic large subunit ribosomal RNA (bases 256-313)
UAGCCGGAGACAUUGCAGCAUUCAGUGAUCAUCGAAUCUUUGACGCACAUUGCGCCCGCCAGCAUUCUGGCGGGCAUGCCUGUUCGAGCGUCAUUUCAACCCUCAAGCUCUGCUUGGUGUUGGGGCCCUACAGCUGAUGUAGGCCCUCAAAGGUAGUGGCGGACCCUCCCGGAGCCUCCUUUGCGUAGUAACUUUACGUCUCGCACUGGGAUCCGGAGGGACUCUUGCCGUAAAACCCCCCAAUUUUCCAAAGGUUGACCUCGGAUCAGGUAGGAAUACCCGCUGAACUUAAGCAUAUCAAUAAGCGGAGGAA